Paramuricea clavata is the source of this 161-nucleotide non-coding RNA. NCBI's taxonomy places the organism in Eukaryota, Metazoa, Cnidaria, Anthozoa, Malacalcyonacea, Plexauridae. The record is from the annotation of a GenBank genome assembly.
AUAAAUAGAUCCUGUUUUAAAAGGAUCCAAUGGAUGCAAUGGAUCCAAAGGAUCUGAUGGAUCCAAAGGAUCUGAUGGAUCUGAUAGAUAUCUAUUUAUCCAUCGCAUCCUUUGGAUCCAUCGCAUCCAUUGGAUCCUUUUAAAACAGGAUCUAUUUAUCC